AGCGAACGCUGGCGGUAUGCUUAACACAUGCAAGUCGAGCGCGAAAGUGACUUCGGUCAUAAGUAGAGCGGCGGACGGGUGAGUAACACGUGGAUAAUCUGCCUUUAGGACUGGGAUAACCCUGGGAAACUAGGGCUAAUACCGGAUAAGACCACAGGUUCCAUGGAACCAGGGGUAAAAGGCGGCCUUCGGGCUGUCGCCGAAAGAUGAGUCCGCGUCCCAUCAGGUAGUUGGUGAGGUAACGGCUCACCAAGCCGAAGACGGGUAGCCGACCUUAGCGGGUGAUCGGCCACACGGGGACUGAGACACGGCCCCGACUCCUACGGGAGGCAGCAGUGGGGAAUCUUGGGCAAUGGGGCGCAAGCCUGACCCAGCAAUACCGCGUGAGGGAUGAAGGCC
Molecule: ribosomal RNA, 399 nt
Filed under: uncultured bacterium
Lineage: Bacteria
Description: bacterial SSU rRNA
Rfam family: Bacterial small subunit ribosomal RNA
Source: RNAcentral